GGUUAAGUCUGCCCAGUGAUUAUUUUUUUAACGGCCGCAGUACUUUGACUGUGCUAAGGUAGCAAAAUAAAUAGGCUUUUAAUUGGGGUCGAGUAUGAAUGGCCAAAUGGGUGAUAACUGUCUCAUGUAUAACUUAAACUAACUUACUUAUUAGGUGAAAAUUCCUAUAAUUUUAAUAUUAGACGAGAAGACCCUUAGAGUUUUGAGGAAUUAAUCUUUUAAAAUUAUUUCUUUUUGUUGGGGCGACAGAUUAUCAAUUUAACAUAAUUAGGUAGUUAACUAAACAAGACUAAUUUUAUAAAUGAAUAUAACUACCUAAGGGAUAACAGCAUAAUUUUUUCUUAAGAUUGUGACCUCGUUGUUGGACUAGGGACUAAGCAUAUAAGUCAUAUG
Molecule: ribosomal RNA, 393 nt
Filed under: Arion flagellus
Lineage: Eukaryota; Metazoa; Mollusca; Gastropoda; Stylommatophora; Arionidae
Description: partial 16S large subunit ribosomal RNA
Rfam family: Archaeal large subunit ribosomal RNA (bases 1-168)
Source: RNAcentral